GCACUGCUGAGGAGUCCCACAACAGGACGAAAUGUUCAUCCAAUGU
Molecule: non-coding RNA, 46 nt
Organism: Schistosoma curassoni
Lineage: Eukaryota; Metazoa; Platyhelminthes; Trematoda; Strigeidida; Schistosomatidae
Source: Rfam